GGUAUUGAUUUUAAUCAACUUUCAAGAUGAAGCACCACAUUUGUCAAGGCAGAAGACCCAAAUGUGCAAUUUUUUCUUAGGGGAAAACUGGCUAUAAUGAAUGUGCUGAAAUAUAUUAGUUAUCUAUUAACCUCAACACGCAAGAAAGCACUAGAUCAUUAGUUUGCCUGGUAAGGGAAAAAACAGGGGCUGCAGCCUGCCCAGCUACAGAAGAAAGUGGAAUCAGCAGAACAAGUGGCCUGUGAAGAUGCCAGCUUGUGAGAAAUGCCUGGCUGACUGUGAACAGGGAUAUUAUUAAAUGGAUGCAUAUGAUGCAUAGCGUAAUUAUACCACUUAUGGCAGAAAAACAUCACCAUUUUAUCAAAUGCUCCACUGUGUACAUCAAAGAUCAUGGUAUCAUCUAUCUCUGGGAUGCCAUGUGAGCUUUGCAGUUCUGGAAGGGCUUCGAGUCAAGUUUUGAUUAAUUCUUGAUGGUUUUAUUUGAUUAUAGAAGUAGAGCUUGAACGUGUGUGUGCGUUUUCCCUUUUUCUUGUAAGAACUGACAAUCUUGAUUAAAUUUCCCUUUUAGGAGUGGGAAGCAAGAAGCAAAGUAAUUGUCACCACUUCUUGGAGAAGAAUGGCUUAUAGUGUUUUGAACAUAUCGUCUCAAAAUAACCUCUUCGGAAGA
RNAcentral lists this long non-coding RNA (667 nucleotides) under Homo sapiens (human). Its description in RNAcentral is "HSALNT0082794". The record is from RNAcentral. Lineage: Eukaryota; Metazoa; Chordata; Mammalia; Primates; Hominidae.